GGGCGAUUGGUCUAGAGGUAUGAUUCGUGUUUCGGGUGGGAAACCCCUCACACUCUGUGUGGAGAAUAUACGAGGUCCCGGGUUCGAAUCCCGGAUCGCCCC
This is a non-coding RNA of Phialemonium atrogriseum, 102 nucleotides long. Lineage: Eukaryota; Fungi; Ascomycota; Sordariomycetes; Cephalothecales; Cephalothecaceae. The record is from the annotation of a RefSeq genome assembly.